AAACAUAUGGUGUUGGGGUUACCACGUUCGCUUUGCAUUAUAAAGACAUGUUUCCGAAAGGUCUCCGGUUCAAAUCCGGAUUUGUCCG
Molecule: non-coding RNA, 88 nt
Organism: Rhodocollybia butyracea
Lineage: Eukaryota; Fungi; Basidiomycota; Agaricomycetes; Agaricales; Omphalotaceae
Source: the annotation of a GenBank genome assembly